This 403-nucleotide ribosomal RNA is filed under the name uncultured bacterium. Its description in RNAcentral is "bacterial SSU rRNA". It matches the Rfam family "Bacterial small subunit ribosomal RNA", at positions 771 to 1163 of the family's 1533-position model. The record is from RNAcentral.
ACCCAAUAGAUACCCCGGUAGUCCUAGCUGUAAACGGUGCACGUUUGCUGUAAAGGAAUCGACCCCUUUUCGUGGCGAAAGCUAAACGCGAUAAAAACGUGCCGCCUGGGGAGUACGGUCGCAAGAUUAAACUCAAAGAAAUUGACGGGGCCGUGCACAAGCGGUGGAGUAUGUGGCUUAAUUCGAUGCAACGCGAAGAACCUUACCUGGCCUUGACAUGCACGUAGUAGAAGCGUGAAAGCGUAACGAACCCGCAAGGGUAGCGUGCACAGGUGCUGCAUGGCUGUCGUCAGCUCGUGUCGUGAGAUGUUGGGUUAAGUCCCGCAACGAGCGCAACCCUUGUGUCCUGUUGCCACCCAAACGAGAGUUUGGAGCACUCUGGACAGACUGCCUCGCUUAAACG